Molecule: ribosomal RNA, 200 nt
Filed under: Enterococcus faecium
Lineage: Bacteria; Bacillati; Bacillota; Bacilli; Lactobacillales; Enterococcaceae
Description: partial 23S ribosomal RNA
Rfam family: Bacterial large subunit ribosomal RNA
Source: RNAcentral
GGGUUAGUCGGGACCUAAGCCGAGGCCGACAGGCGUAGGCGAUGGAUAACAGGUUGAUAUUCCUGUACCCGUUGUUUUUGUUUGAGCAAUGGAGGGACGCAGGAGGCUAAGGAAUGCAGACGAUCGGAAAUGUCUGUCCAAGCAGUAAGUCUGAAGAGGAGUCAAAUGCUUCUUUUCUUAAGGACAAGCUGUGAUGGGGA